This 433-nucleotide ribosomal RNA is filed under the name uncultured bacterium. Its description in RNAcentral is "partial 16S ribosomal RNA". It matches the Rfam family "Bacterial small subunit ribosomal RNA", at positions 29 to 507 of the family's 1533-position model. The record is from RNAcentral.
AACGAACGCUGGCGGCAUGCCUAACACAUGCGAGUCGAACGAGACCUUCGGGUCUAGUGGCGCACGGGUGCGUAACGCGUGGGAACCUUCCCUUAGGUUCGGCAUAACUCCCCGAAAGGGGUGCUAAUACCGGAUAAUGUCUUCGGCCCCAAGAUUUAUCGCCUUUGGAUGGGCCCUCGUUGGAUUAGCUAGUUGGUAGGGUAAUAGCCUACCAAGGCGACGAUUCAUAGAUGGUCUGAGAGGAUGAUCAGCCACACUGAGACUGAGACACGGCCCAGACUCCUACGGGAGGCAGCAGUGGGGAAUAUUGGACAAUGGGCGAAAGCCUGAUCCAGCAAUGCCGCGUGAGUGAUGAAGGCCUUAGGGUUGUAAAGCUCUUUUACCCGGGAUGAUAAUGACAGUACCGGGAGAAUAAGCUCCGGCUAACUCCGUG